This 471-nucleotide long non-coding RNA is filed under the name Nicotiana benthamiana. RNAcentral describes it as "long non-coding RNA (NBEN_LNC025672)". Lineage: Eukaryota; Viridiplantae; Streptophyta; Magnoliopsida; Solanales; Solanaceae. The record is from RNAcentral.
UCAAAACACCUUCAAGCUUAAAUAUUUUACCAUUUUGGGUCGGAUAAACGUUUUGGGUGUAGAAAUUUCGGGUUUUCGGCUUGAAUUUUCCGGCAUUUUCAACGGCGCGUUUACGUACGCGUUGCGAAGAGUGAGGAAAAUUGGGGUAGCGUUAAAAGGGGUGCUGGAAACUACGUCGUUACAGUAUGGUGAGUAUGGGAUCUGAGGGAGUUCGGAAACUCCAAGGAAGGAGUUAAGGGAAAGGAGAAGGAGUAAUAGAAGAAGAGGACUAAAUUGGAAUUUUCGUGAUGGGUUUGUUGCGAAUACGGGAAAGUUUGAAUCUGGAGCUAGGGUUUUGCAAUGGAGCUGGAGCUGAGGAAUUCUUCGUUGUUAUGAGAUGUUCAUGGAGCAGAGCGGAGAGACGGAGACUUCAAUGGUUGAUCAAGUAAAUAUUGCUGACAUUUAUAUACACCUGAAUCAGUCUCAUUUCCU